This is a non-coding RNA of Collinsella tanakaei YIT 12063, 146 nucleotides long. Lineage: Bacteria; Bacillati; Actinomycetota; Coriobacteriia; Coriobacteriales; Coriobacteriaceae. The record is from Rfam.
GCAGCCACAUUAGGAGAGGGUCGGCGUGUCGCGGCGCCGGUUCAAUCAGAGGGAAUCAGGUGCGAAUCCUGAGCAAGGGCCAUUACUGUGUGGAAGCGCCGGCGCGCUUUCGAGCCAGGGCGCUCUGCCUUCUCCUCGCGGACUCG